This 399-nucleotide ribosomal RNA is filed under the name uncultured bacterium. RNAcentral describes it as "bacterial SSU rRNA". It matches the Rfam family "Bacterial small subunit ribosomal RNA", at positions 30 to 426 of the family's 1533-position model. The record is from RNAcentral.
AUUGAACGCUGGCGGCAUGCCUUACACAUGCAAGUCGAACGGCAGCACGGGUGCUUGCACCUGGUGGCGAGUGGCGAACGGGUGAGUAAAGUAUCGGAACGUACCAUUCAGUGGGGGAUAACUAUCUGAAAGGAUAGCUAAUACCGCAUAUUCUGUGAGCAGGAAAGCAGGGGAUCGCAAGACCUUGCGCUGAUUGAGCGGCCGAUAUCAGAUUAGCUAGUUGGUGGGGUAAAGGCCUACCAAGGCUACGAUCUGUAGCGGGUCUGAGAGGAUGAUCCGCCACACUGGAACUGAGACACGGUCCAGACUCCUACGGGAGGCAGCAGUGGGGAAUUUUGGACAAUGGGGGGCAACCCUGAUCCAGCCAUGCCGCGUGAGUGAAGAAGGCCUUCGGGUUGU